AUACCGCCUAUCCUCCGGAUGAAUCACC
Molecule: small RNA, 28 nt
Filed under: Bombyx mori (domestic silkworm)
Lineage: Eukaryota; Metazoa; Arthropoda; Insecta; Lepidoptera; Bombycidae
Description: ovarian small RNA-12353
Source: RNAcentral